UACGUAGGGUGCAAGCGUUGUCCGGAAUUAUUGGGCGUAAAGAGCUCGUAGGCGGUUUGUCGCGUCUGCUGUGAAAACGCGAGGCUCAACCUCGCGCCUGCAGUGGGUACGGGCAGACUAGAGUGCGGUAGGGGAGAUUGGAAUUCCUGGUGUAGCGGUGGAAUGCGCAGAUAUCAGGAGGAACACCAGCGGCGAAGGCGGCGCUCUGGGCUGGAACUGACGCUGAGGAGCGAAAGCGUGGGGAGCGAACAGG
RNAcentral lists this ribosomal RNA (253 nucleotides) under uncultured bacterium. RNAcentral's name for it is "partial 16S ribosomal RNA". It matches the Rfam family "Bacterial small subunit ribosomal RNA", at positions 524 to 776 of the family's 1533-position model. The record is from RNAcentral.